RNAcentral lists this ribosomal RNA (726 nucleotides) under uncultured Nevskia sp. RNAcentral's name for it is "bacterial SSU rRNA". It matches the Rfam family "Bacterial small subunit ribosomal RNA", at positions 94 to 817 of the family's 1533-position model. The record is from RNAcentral. Lineage: Bacteria; Pseudomonadati; Pseudomonadota; Gammaproteobacteria; Nevskiales; Nevskiaceae.
AGUGGCGGACGGGUGAGUAAUACGUAGGGAUCUGCCCUUGAGUGGGGGAUAGCCCGGGGAAACCCGGAUUAAUACCGCAUGAACUCGUGAGAGCAAAGCAGGGGACCGCAAGGCCUUGCGCUCUUGGAGGAACCUACGUCGGAUUAGCUAGUUGGUGAGGUAAUGGCUCACCAAGGCGACGAUCCGUAACUGGUCUGAGAGGAUGAUCAGUCACACCGGAACUGAGACACGGUCCGGACUCCUACGGGAGGCAGCAGUGGGGAAUAUUGGACAAUGGGCGCAAGCCUGAUCCAGCAAUGCCGCGUGUGUGAAGAAGGCCUUCGGGUUGUAAAGCACUUUAGGUUGGGAAGAAAAAACUCGGGCUAAUACCUUGAGUCUUGACGGUACCGACAGAAUAAGCACCGGCUAACUCUGUGCCAGCAGCCGCGGUAAUACAGAGGGUGCAAGCGUUAAUCGGAUUUACUGGGCGUAAAGCGUGCGUAGGCGGUUAGUUAAGUCGAUUGUGAAAGCCCCGGGCUUAACCUGGGAAUUGCAGUCGAUACUGGCUGGCUAGAGAACGGUAGAGGGAGGCGGAACUCCAGGUGUAGCAGUGAAAUGCGUAGAUAUCUGGAAGAACACCGAUGGCGAAGGCAACCUCCUGGGCCUGUUCUGACGCUGAGGCACGAAAGCGUGGGGAGCAAACAGGAUUAGAUACCCUGGUAGUCCACGCCNUAAACGAUGAUUGCU